RNAcentral lists this ribosomal RNA (301 nucleotides) under uncultured bacterium. RNAcentral describes it as "partial 16S ribosomal RNA". It matches the Rfam family "Bacterial small subunit ribosomal RNA", at positions 509 to 807 of the family's 1533-position model. The record is from RNAcentral.
CAGCCGCCGCGGGAACACGUAGGGUGCAAGCGUUAAUCGGAAUUACUGGGCGUAAAGCGUGCGCAGGCGGUUAUAUAAGACAGAUGUGAAAUCCCCGGGCUCAACCUGGGAACUGCAUUUGUGACUGUAUAGCUAGAGUACGGCAGAGGGGGAUGGAAUUCCGCGUGUAGCAGUGAAAUGCGUAGAUAUGCGGAGGAACACCGAUGGCGAAGGCAAUCCCCUGGGCCUGUACUGACGCUCAUGCACGAAAGCGUGGGGAGCAAACAGGAUUAGAUACCCCAGUAGUCCCUGUCUCUUAUAC